This 445-nucleotide ribosomal RNA is filed under the name uncultured bacterium. RNAcentral describes it as "partial 16S ribosomal RNA". It matches the Rfam family "Bacterial small subunit ribosomal RNA", at positions 354 to 796 of the family's 1533-position model. The record is from RNAcentral.
GUGAGGAAUAUUGGUCAAUGGGCGCAAGCCUGAACCAGCCAUGCCGCGUGCAGGAAGACGGUCCUAUGGAUUGUAAACUGCUUUUAUUUGGGAAUAAACUCCGGUACGUGUACCGGCCUGAAGGUACCAAAUGAAUAAGCACCGGCUAACUCCGUGCCAGCAGCCGCGGUAAUACGGAGGGUGCAAGCGUUAUCCGGAAUCAUUGGGUUUAAAUGGUCCGCAGGCGGUCUUAUAAGUCAGUGGUGAAAGCCUACAGCUCAACUGUAGAACUGCCAUUGAUACUGUAGGACUUGAAUUCGAUCGAAGUGGGCGGAAUGUGACAUGUAGCGGUGAAAUGCUUAGAUAUGUCACAGAACACCGAUAGCGAAGGCAGCUCACUAGGUCUGGAUUGACGCUCAGGGACGAAAGCGUGGGGAGCAAACAGGAUUAGAAACCCUGGUAGUCC